RNAcentral lists this long non-coding RNA (725 nucleotides) under Equus caballus (horse). Its description in RNAcentral is "lncRNA (ENSECAG00000051754.1)". Lineage: Eukaryota; Metazoa; Chordata; Mammalia; Perissodactyla; Equidae. The record is from RNAcentral.
GCAUGGCUUGACAAGCGGUGCCAUGUCCGCACCUGGGAUCCAAACCAGUGGACCCUGGCCUGCCAAAGCAGAACGUGCGAACUUAACUGCUGCACCACCUGGCCAGCCCCCAGACAUCAAUAUUUUUUUAAGUUCCUAAGAUGAUUCCAAUGAACAGCCAGGAUUGGAAGCUUACAGGUUUUCCAGAAGCCAAUGAUUUUUAUAUGCAUGGGCAUCACCUGGGAAGAAUCCUUAAUGUGCCACUCCCCAAGCCCCGCCUGCCAGUUGAAGCCCCUGCUGUUAUUCAAUUAAGCCUGGAUACCAGACCAGAGGCUCCUGGACGGAGAGUCCCCAGCCCAGAUCUCCUGUGGGCACAGCACACAGCUCACACAGGCAGAGCGGAGCGACUAACAGUUGGAGUUAGAGCUUUCUGGUUCACCCUGCACCGCAGGCAAAAAGCAAUGUUCCUUUGGAUUUGCACACUGUCUGGAUGGAGUGAAUCAUUCGCAGUCUCACAAGAGUUACUGGGAGAAUCAACUAAGAAAUACCAAUUUUUCUGACCAUCUCUAGUCACCGCCGCAAUUGCAUGGACCCAAAUGGUAUACUUUCUGGGUGCAAUUUUAUCCCUGGCUUUAUUUGCCAUUCUUUUACUGUCCAUAUUUUCCUUUUUCCUCAACUGUUAUCUAUUUCUACUCUUGUAAAAGUGUGUGCAUUGUUGUGUGUGUGUGUAAUACCCCAAAUCUUCU